UACGUAGGGUGCAAGCGUUUGUCCGGAAUUAUUGGGCGUAAAGAGCUCGUAGGCGGUUUGUCGCGUCGGCUGUGAAAACCCGGGGCUCAACCCCCGGGGCCUGCAGUCGAUACGGGCAAACUAGAGUGCGGUAGGGGAGACUGGAAUUCCUGGUGUAGCGGUGAAAUGCGCAGAUAUCAGGAGGAACACCGGUGGCGAAGGCGGGUCUCUGGGCCGUAACUGACGCUGAGGAGCGAAAGCGUGGGGAGCGAACAGG
RNAcentral lists this ribosomal RNA (256 nucleotides) under uncultured bacterium. Its description in RNAcentral is "partial 16S ribosomal RNA". It matches the Rfam family "Bacterial small subunit ribosomal RNA", at positions 524 to 776 of the family's 1533-position model. The record is from RNAcentral.